UGCUACAAUGGCGUAAACAGAGGGAAGCGAAGCGGUGACGUGGAGCGAAUCCCAAAAAUAACGUCCCAGUUCGGAUUGUAGUCUGCAACCCGACUACAUGAAGCUGGAAUCGCUAGUAAUCGCGGAUCAGAAUGCCGCGGUGAAUACGUUCCCGGGUCUUGUACACACCGCCCGUCACACCAUGGGAGUCAGUAACGCCCGAAGCCGGUGACCUAACCGAAAGGGAGGAGCCGUCGAAGGUGGGACCGAUAACUGGGGUGAAGUCGUAACAAGGUACC
Molecule: ribosomal RNA, 278 nt
Filed under: uncultured bacterium
Lineage: Bacteria
Description: partial 16S ribosomal RNA
Rfam family: Bacterial small subunit ribosomal RNA
Source: RNAcentral